GACCGGAGUGGACGCAUCACUGGUGUUCGGGUUGUCAUGCCAAUGGCACUGCCCGGUAGCUAAAUGCGGAAGAGAUAAGUGCUGAAAGCAUCUAAGCACGAAACUUGCCCCGAGAUGAGUUCUCCCUGAGACYUURAGUCUCCUGAAGGAACGUUGAAGACGACGACGUUGAUAGGUCGGGUGUGUAAGCGCAGCGAUGCGUUGAGCUAACCGAUACUAAUGAACCGUGAGGCUUAACCUU
RNAcentral lists this ribosomal RNA (241 nucleotides) under Enterobacter hormaechei. Its description in RNAcentral is "partial 23S ribosomal RNA". Lineage: Bacteria; Pseudomonadati; Pseudomonadota; Gammaproteobacteria; Enterobacterales; Enterobacteriaceae. The record is from RNAcentral.